UUUUGAACUAACUGCUAUUGCGUGUCCCAUGACCAGCUGUGGCAGGGUUUUUGUUCCCAUGAAUGAAUGGGCUAUAAAUCUGCCCGGCUUGACACUAGUAGCAGCACUAGAGGGUGUAAAGCAGACUGUGCCGAGGAAUCUCGCGGUCUUUGCCUGCCUGGAAAAUGAAUUCAAUAAAAUGGAGCCCAUCUCUGUACCCAGAGUGGUUCUGGGAGCUGUGAGCAACUGCAGCGGUGGCAGAAACCAGAGCAGUGCUGGCGAUAUGUGCAUACCGCUCUUCAUCUGAGGUUCUAGAAUCUUCCAAGGUGCUGAGAGGCAUGGAUGGAUAUUUCAGCUAUUCCUCUAUUGCUGUGAUGAAGUACUACAACCAAGCAUUAAUUUGGCCUAUGGUUUCAAGGAUUAGAGUUCUUGAUUGUGGAGCACAGACUUGAUGGCAGAAACAGCUGAGACCUCACAUCUUGAUUCACAACCAGGAGGCAGAGAGAGACAGCACUGGGAAUCCCGUGAGUCUCUUAAAACCUCAAACUCUUGACACACCUUAUUCAACAUGGCCACACCUCCUAAUCCUUCCCAAACAGUUCCAUCA
Molecule: long non-coding RNA, 586 nt
Filed under: Mus spicilegus (steppe mouse)
Lineage: Eukaryota; Metazoa; Chordata; Mammalia; Rodentia; Muridae
Description: lncRNA (ENSMSIG00000018450.1)
Source: RNAcentral